This 60-nucleotide small nucleolar RNA is filed under the name Euglena gracilis. RNAcentral describes it as "Eg-m115 box C/D methylation-guide". The record is from RNAcentral. Lineage: Eukaryota; Euglenozoa; Euglenophyceae; Euglenales; Euglenaceae.
CGCAUGAUGUUAUUCUCAGUCAGUAUCUUCUGACCUCGGAUGCUGUGCCGCUUUGGCUGA